UCGAGAAUCUUCCGCAAUGGGCGCAAGCCUGACGGAGCGAUGCCGCGUGAGGGAUGAAGGUCUUCGGAUUGUAAACCUCUGUCACCGUGGAGGAACACAAUGACUGUACACGGAGAGGAAGUCACGGCUAACUACGUACCAGCAGCCGCGGUAAUACGUAGGUGACUAGCGUUGUUCGGAUUUAUUGGGCGUAAAGGGUCCGCAGGGGGCCAACUAAGUUCGAUGUGAAAUCCCGGAGCUUAACUUCGGAACUGCAUUGGAGACUGGUUGGCUAGAGCAUCGGAGAGGAGAAUGGAAUUCCAGGUGUAGCGGUGGAAUGCGUAGAUAUCUGGAAGAACACCAAAGGCGAAGGCAGUUCUCUGGACGAUUGCUGACCCUCAGGGACGAAAGCAUGGGGAGCAAACA
This 405-nucleotide ribosomal RNA is filed under the name uncultured prokaryote. RNAcentral's name for it is "bacterial SSU rRNA". It matches the Rfam family "Bacterial small subunit ribosomal RNA", at positions 355 to 774 of the family's 1533-position model. The record is from RNAcentral.